CUGGCUCAGGAUGAACGCUGGCGGCGUGCCUAAUACAUGCAAGUCGAGCGAACGGACGAGAAGCUUGCUUCUCUGAUGUUAGCGGCGGACGGGUGAGUAACACGUGGAUAACCUACCUAUAAGACUGGGAUAACUUCGGGAAACCGGAGCUAAUACCGGAUAAUAUUUUGAACCGCAUGGUUCAAAAGUGAAAGACGGUCUUGCUGUCACUUAUAGAUGGAUCCGCGCUGCAUUAGCUAGUUGGUAAGGUAACGGCUUACCAAGGCAACGAUGCAUAGCCGACCUGAGAGGGUGAUCGGCCACACUGGAACUGAGACACGGUCCAGACUCCUACGGGAGGCAGCAGUAGGGAAUCUUCCGCAAUGGGCGAAAGCCUGACGGAGCAACGCCGCGUGAGUGAUGAAGGUCUUCGGAUCGUAAAACUCUGUUAUUAGGGAAGAACAUAUGUGUAAGUAACUGUGCACAUCUUGACGGUACCUAAUCAGAAAGCCACGGCUAACUACGUGCCAGCAGCCGCGGUAAUACGUAGGUGGCAAGCGUUAUCCGGAAUUAUUGGGCGUAAAGCGCGCGUAGGCGGUUUUUUAAGUCUGAUGUGAAAGCCCACGGCUCAACCGUGGAGGGUCAUUGGAAACUGGAAAACUUGAGUGCAGAAGAGGAAAGUGGAAUUCCAUGUGUAGCGGUGAAAUGCGCAGAGAUAUGGAGGAACACCAGUGGCGAAGGCGACUUUCUGGUCUGUAACUGACGCUGAUGUGCGAAAGCGUGGGGAUCAAACAGGAUUAGAUACCCUGGUAGUCCACGCCGUAAACGAUGAGUGCUAAGUGUUAGGGGGUUUCCGCCCCUUAGUGCUGCAGCUAACGCAUUAAGCACUCCGCCUGGGGAGUACGACCGCAAGGUUGAAACUCAAAGGAAUUGACGGGGACCCGCACAAGCGGUGGAGCAUGUGGUUUAAUUCGAAGCAACGCGAAGAACCUUACCAAAUCUUGACAUCCUUUGACAACUCUAGAGAUAGAGCCUUCCCCUUCGGGGGACAAAGUGACAGGUGGUGCAUGGUUGUCGUCAGCUCGUGUCGUGAGAUGUUGGGUUAAGUCCCGCAACGAGCGCAACCCUUAAGCUUAGUUGCCAUCAUUAAGUUGGGCACUCUAAGUUGACUGCCGGUGACAAACCGGAGGAAGGUGGGGAUGACGUCAAAUCAUCAUGCCCCUUAUGAUUUGGGCUACACACGUGCUACAAUGGACAAUACAAAGGGCAGCGAAACCGCGAGGUCAAGCAAAUCCCAUAAAGGUGUUCUCAGUUCGGAUUGUAGUCUGCAACUCGACUACAUGAAGCUGGAAUCGCUAGUAAUCGUAGAUCAGCAUGCUACGGUGAAUACGUUCCCGGGUCUUGGACACACCCGCCCGUCACACCACGAG
RNAcentral lists this ribosomal RNA (1409 nucleotides) under Staphylococcus argenteus. RNAcentral's name for it is "bacterial SSU rRNA". It matches the Rfam family "Bacterial small subunit ribosomal RNA". Lineage: Bacteria; Bacillati; Bacillota; Bacilli; Caryophanales; Staphylococcaceae. The record is from RNAcentral.